Molecule: ribosomal RNA, 397 nt
Filed under: uncultured bacterium
Lineage: Bacteria
Description: partial 16S ribosomal RNA
Rfam family: Bacterial small subunit ribosomal RNA
Source: RNAcentral
AUACGUAGGGGGCGAGCGUUGUCCGGAAUGAUUGGGCGUAAAGGGCGCGUAGGCGGCCUUUUAAGUCUGAAGUGAAAGUCCUGGUUUUAAGUUGGGAAUUGCUUUGGAUACUGGAAGGCUUGAGUGCAGGAGAGGUAAGUGGAAUUCCCAGUGUAGCGGUGAAAUGCGUAGAGAUUGGGAGGAACACCAGUGGCGAAGGCGACUUACUGGAAUGUAACUGACGCUGAGGCGCGAAAGUGUGGGGAGCAAACAGGAUUAGAUACCCUGGUAGUCCACACUGUAAACGAUGAAUGCUAGGUGUAGGGGGUAUCGACCCCUUCUGUGCCGCAGUUAACACAAUAAGCAUUCCGCCUGGGGAGUACGGCCGCAAGGUUGAAACUCAAAUGAAUUGACGGGG